GACGAACGCUGGCGGCGUGCUUAACACAUGCAAGUCGAACGGAAAGGCCUCAGCUUGCUGGGGUCCUCGAGUGGCGAACGGGUGAGUAACACGUGGGUGAUCUGCCUUGCACUCUGGGAUAAGCUUGGGAAACUGGGUCUAAUACCGGAUAUGAACUGCCUUUAGUGUGGUGGUUGGAAAGUUUUUUCGGUGCAAGAUGAGCUCGCGGCCUAUCAGCUUGUUGGUGGGGUAAUGGCCUACCAAGGCGUCGACGGGUAGCCGGCCUGAGAGGGUGUACGGCCACAUUGGGACUGAGAUACGGCCCAGACUCCUACGGGAGGCAGCAGUGGGGAAUAUUGCACAAUGGGCGGAAGCCUGAUGCAGCGACGCCGCGUGGGGGAGGACGGCCUUCGGGUUGGAAACGCCUUUCGACAGGGACGAAGCUUUUUGUGACGGUACCUGUAUAAGAAGCACCGGCUAACUACGUG
Molecule: ribosomal RNA, 467 nt
Filed under: uncultured bacterium
Lineage: Bacteria
Description: partial 16S ribosomal RNA
Rfam family: Bacterial small subunit ribosomal RNA
Source: RNAcentral